CCUCCAUUCGGUAACUAAAGUGACUUUCCUAACAUGCAGGUCUGAUCAUGUCACCCUCUACUCAAUAACCUCCAGUGAUUCCCUCUCACCUCAGGGGCUUUGAAUGUCGAACAGAAAAUUUCGCAUUUGAUCCUGACUACAAUCAAGAGGAGUUGGGGAAGGCUUCUUGAAGAAGGGGUACUAAGAGGACAGAGAGGACAGCUCUAGGAGGGAGGCAGUGUCAUGUUAUGGGAAGAGCCCUGAAAUGGGAAAUCAGAGGCCUAUCCACUGUACCACCUAGCUGCCUUUGCUGCUGCUGC
Phascolarctos cinereus (koala) is the source of this 299-nucleotide non-coding RNA. Lineage: Eukaryota; Metazoa; Chordata; Mammalia; Diprotodontia; Phascolarctidae. The record is from RefSeq and is a predicted model, not a curated record.